Molecule: non-coding RNA, 1057 nt
Organism: Solanum lycopersicum (tomato)
Lineage: Eukaryota; Viridiplantae; Streptophyta; Magnoliopsida; Solanales; Solanaceae
Source: RefSeq, a predicted model, not a curated record
CGGAAACAAUGAGCUAAAAAAAGAAAAGAAAUAGAGAAAACAAGAAUCUUGAAUUUUCAUUUUUACUAAAUUUUCAACUUGGUGUAUGAAGAGGAUCCAAUAUCCUUGUCUUUGGUGGGGACUCACACACAUACACUUCUCUUUUAAACUCAAUAGUAGUACUAAUUUGUUUUUUCCUAUGUCUCUUUAUUCCUCUCUUUGUCAAUGUUUUAAUGCUUUGCCUUUUUUCAUCUAAACAAAAAGCCCAAAAAAUAACAACAACAACAAAAAAAAAAUAAAAAAAUACAACUUUUAAACAAGUGUGCUACUUUUUUUUUUUCCUUUACUCUCUCUCCAAUGAUCUUAUCUUCAUUUAUUUCAUGUUAUAACUUAUUUUUCUCUAAAUUUUCUUUCAUCUUUCUUAAACUAAAAAUACUCACAAAACAGAAAACAGUUUCUGUCAUGUCACUUCUUAUUCUGUGCUACAACUUUCUUGAAAUUAAAAAAAAGGUGUUAAGAUACCUCUAGUGAAAUUGUGUUGCCGAGUCGAACCAAGAUUUGAACUUUAUGAGUUCUAAUUGAAUUCUAAGAAAGCAACAUCAGGUGUGUGUUAGUAACUGAGUUUUUUUUUUACUUGUUUAGUGAAUUUCUUAAUACAAAUACAGAGUUCGAACUAAAGUUACUAGGUUCCGCAGAACCAUAGUUUGGCUUCUAGCUCCGUCCGUGAUUGUGUUCAUUUGCUUCCUUGAUGUUUUCCAGUUUCUCAAAUUUUUUCUGAUGUUGCCUUUUGUUGCCCAGGUUCUUCCAAAAAGUUGAAUUUUGCUAGAGUUCAAUAAGUUUUGGAGUUCUUCUAAUUAUUUGUCUUAGUGCAUUAAACUGUAAUUCCGUAGGUAUUGUAUUUCUCAUUUCAACCUUUAAGUUUAGCACUAUGUUGUUGAACUAAGCUUUUUCCUACACGAUUAAACUGACCUUUGAGUCAUUACUGCGAUAACAACCAGUUGUAAUUAAGGUUCAACAUGAGCUUGAGCUUGGUGUAGAUCUUUUCCCAUAUGUGAACAAAUGAUGUACUUUUAUUUGA